AGUGAACGCUGGCGGUAGGCCUAACACAUGCAAGUCGAACGGCAGCACAGUAAGAGCUUGCUCUUACGGGUGGCGAGUGGCGGACGGGUGAGGAAUACAUCGGAAUCUACUUUUUCGUGGGGGAUAACGUAGGGAAACUUACGCUAAUACCGCAUACGACCUACGGGUGAAAGCAGGGGAUCUUCGGACCUUGCGCGAUUGAAUGAGCCGAUGGCGGAUUAGCUAGUUGGCGGGGUAAAGGCCCACCAAGGCGACGAUCCGUAGCUGGUCUGAGAGGAUGAUCAGCCACACUGGAACUGAGACACGGUCCAGACUCCUACGGGAGGCAGCAGUGGGGGAUAUUGGACAAUGGGCGCAAGCCUGAUCCAGCCAUACCGCGUGGGUGAAGAAGGCCUUCGGGUUGUAAAGCCCUUUUGUUGGGAAAGAAAAGCAGCAGGUUAAUACCCCGCUGUUCUGACGGUACCCAAAGAAUAAGCACCGGCUAACUUCGUG
RNAcentral lists this ribosomal RNA (492 nucleotides) under uncultured bacterium. Its description in RNAcentral is "partial 16S ribosomal RNA". It matches the Rfam family "Bacterial small subunit ribosomal RNA", at positions 29 to 507 of the family's 1533-position model. The record is from RNAcentral.